Molecule: ribosomal RNA, 601 nt
Filed under: Bacillus stercoris
Lineage: Bacteria; Bacillati; Bacillota; Bacilli; Caryophanales; Bacillaceae
Description: bacterial SSU rRNA
Rfam family: Bacterial small subunit ribosomal RNA
Source: RNAcentral
UUCCUUCGGGAUGACGUCAGUGGAUCCAGCGGCGAACGGGUGAGUAACACGUGGGCAACCUGCCCCUCAGACUGGGAUAACAUCGAGAAAUCGGUGCUAAUACCGGAUAAUUUUCGGGAUCGCAUGAUCCCGUUAUAAAAGAUGGCUUCGGCUAUCACUGGGGGAUGGGCCCGCGGCGCAUUAGCUAGUUGGUGAGGUAGAGGCUCACCAAGGCGACGAUGCGUAGCCGACCUGAGAGGGUGAUCGGCCACACUGGGACUGAGACACGGCCCAGACUCCUACGGGAGGCAGCAGUAGGGAAUCUUCCGCAAUGGACGAAAGUCUGACGGAGCAACGCCGCGUGAGUGAUGAAGGGUUUCGGCUCGUAAAGCUCUGUUGUUAGGGAAGAACAAGUAUCGUUCGAAUAGGGCGGUACCUUGACGGUACCUGACCAGAAAGCCACGGCUAACUACGUGCCAGCAGCCGCGGUAAUACGUAGGUGGCAAGCGUUGUCCGGAAUUAUUGGGCGUAAAGCGCGCGCAGGCGGUUUCUUAAGUCUGAUGUGAAAGCCCCCGGCUCAACCGGGGAGGGUCAUUGGAAACUGGGAGACUUGAGUGCAGAA